UGGGGAAUAUUGGACAAUGGGCGCAAGCCUGAUCCAGCCAUACCGCGUGAGUGAAGAAGGCCUUCGGGUUGUAAAGCUCUUUUGUUGGGAAAGAAAUCCUGUCGGUUAAUACCCGGUAGGGAUGACGGUACCCAAAGAAUAAGCACCGGCUAACUUCGUGCCAGCAGCCGCGGUAAUACGAAGGGUGCAAGCGUUACUCGGAAUUACUGGGCGUAAAGCGUGCGUAGGUGGUUUGUUAAGUCUGAUGUGAAAGCCCUGGGCUCAACCUGGGAAUUGCAUUGGAUACUGGCAGGCUAGAGUGCGGUAGAGGGUAGUGGAAUUCCCGGUGUAGCAGUGAAAUGCGUAGAGAUCGGGAGGAACAUCUGUGGCGAAGGCGACUGCCUGGACCAGCACUGACACUGAGGCACGAAAGCGUGGGGAGCAAACAGG
RNAcentral lists this ribosomal RNA (429 nucleotides) under uncultured bacterium. RNAcentral describes it as "bacterial SSU rRNA". It matches the Rfam family "Bacterial small subunit ribosomal RNA", at positions 355 to 776 of the family's 1533-position model. The record is from RNAcentral.